Molecule: ribosomal RNA, 445 nt
Filed under: uncultured bacterium
Lineage: Bacteria
Description: bacterial SSU rRNA
Rfam family: Bacterial small subunit ribosomal RNA
Source: RNAcentral
ACCAGACUCCUACGGGAGGCAGCAGUGGGGAAUAUUGCACAAUGGGGGAAACCCUGAUGCAGCGACGCCGCGUGAGUGAAGAAGUAUUUCGGUAUGUAAAGCUCUAUCAGCAGGGAAGAAAAUGACGGUACCUGACUAAGAAGCCCCGGCUAACUACGUGCCAGCAGCCGCGGUAAUACGUAGGGGGCAAGCGUUAUCCGGAUUUACUGGGUGUAAAGGGAGCGUAGACGGUGAUGCAAGUCAGAAGUGAAAGCCCGGGGCUCAACUCCGGGACUGCUUUUGAAACUGUGUAACUGGAGUGCAGGAGAGGUAAGCGGAAUUCCUAGUGUAGCGGUGAAAUGCGUAGAUAUUAGGAGGAACACCAGUGGCGAAGGCGGCUUACUGGACUGUAACUGACACUGAGGCUCGAAAGCGUGGGGAGCAAACAGGAUUAGAUCCCCCAGUA